RNAcentral lists this ribosomal RNA (443 nucleotides) under uncultured bacterium. RNAcentral's name for it is "partial 16S ribosomal RNA". It matches the Rfam family "Bacterial small subunit ribosomal RNA", at positions 338 to 795 of the family's 1533-position model. The record is from RNAcentral.
CCUACGGGAGGCAGCAGUGGGGGAUAUUGGACAAUGGGGGACACCCUGAUCCAGCGACGCCGCGUGAGUGAAGAAGUAUUUCGGUAUGUAAAGCCCUAUCAGCAGGGAAGAAAGAAAUGACGGUACCUGAGUAAGAAGCCCCGGCUAACUACGUGCCAGCAGCCGCGGUAAUAAGCAGGGGGGAAGCGUUAUCCGGAAUUACUGGGAGUAAAGGGAGGGUAGACGGGAAUGUAAGUCUGGAGUGAAAGGCGUGGGCCCAACCCCCGGACUGCCGUGGAAACUGGGUAACUGGAGUGCAGGAGAGGCAGGCGGAAUGCGUAGUGUAGCGGUGAAAUGCGUAGAUAUUAGGAGGAACACCAGUGGCGAAGGCGGCCUGCUGGACUGUAACUGACGUUGAGGCUCGAAAGCGUGGGGAGCGAACAGGAUUAGAUACCCUAGUAGUC